This 118-nucleotide ribosomal RNA is filed under the name Lepisosteus oculatus (spotted gar). Lineage: Eukaryota; Metazoa; Chordata; Actinopteri; Semionotiformes; Lepisosteidae. The record is from RNAcentral.
GCCAGCAGCUAUAUCACUCUGCAACUCACAACUGGCAACCCACUAAAGCUCAGUAGGUGUGAGCCUGAUCAGUACUUGGAUGGGAGAUCUCCUGGGAAAGCUAAGGUUGCUGCUGGAA